Long non-coding RNA from Rosa chinensis, 666 nucleotides. RefSeq lists it as uncharacterized. NCBI's taxonomy places the organism in Eukaryota, Viridiplantae, Streptophyta, Magnoliopsida, Rosales, Rosaceae. The transcript is spliced from 3 exons. The record is from RefSeq and is a predicted model, not a curated record.
UGUCAAUAAACCCAUCAGACAACAGGGCUCAGACGACAGAAUGGUUUCUUUCUGUUGUCUGAAUAACUUUAACGACAGAAUGAAAAAAUUCUGUUGUCUGAAUAUAGUGAUAUACCAUGGUAAAUUGAUUUUGAGAACAAUGUUUUGUUUCAGACAACAGUUUUCUGUCGUGUGUGUAAUGGAGAGUUGCUUAGUUUUGAAAGUUUGUUUUUUUUUUUUUUUGGAAAUGACUGUUUGGUUUUUUGGUAACACAUAAAUGAAAUUAGAUCAAACAACUUAAUCAAAUCUGGCCCGAUGGAUUUCUCAAACACUGAAAACGCCCCUCUUUCAAACUUCUCUCUUCUUCACAGCACAUCUCUCAAACCAAAACCACUGAACUGAAAAAUCCAGCGCCAAAUCCAACAUCAAUCUCUUCUAUUCGUUCACUAUACUGCUGGCGAAGACGGAGGCUAGGUGGAAGACGGAGGUACAGUCCAACGACUUCGUCUUCAUUCUCUCAAGUCUGAUUGUCUCAACUAACUUCUGAAAACCCAAACCUCCUCAAAACCUUCAACCCAGUCUCUGCGACGGUCGACGGCAGCGGCACGACGACCUCGUCUCGUUCUCGAGACAUCACUCUGUCAGUCUCGCUUUUGGUGGCGGAGCAGAAGAAAGAAAAGAAAAAAA